Long non-coding RNA from Sebastes umbrosus (honeycomb rockfish), 162 nucleotides. RefSeq lists it as uncharacterized. The transcript is spliced from 3 exons. NCBI's taxonomy places the organism in Eukaryota, Metazoa, Chordata, Actinopteri, Perciformes, Sebastidae. The record is from RefSeq and is a predicted model, not a curated record.
UUUUCUAUUUUUCACUUUUUGUAAAUAGUAAGCAAUGAUUGCACUUUGGGAGGCCGGCAUAAUAAAAAGGGAUUAAUACAACGUUUUCCGACUAUGCCAGUGUUUUUCAUGUUGCACGGAGUUUUGACAUAGAACCCCGCGACAUAUGCACUCAGCUGCUGA